GAAAUGCGAUAAGUAGUGUGAAUUGCAGAUACCGUGAAUCAUCAAAUCUUUGAACGCAUAUUGCACUGUAUGGAAUUCCGUACAGUAUACCUGUUUGAGUAUCAGUAAACACUCUCUACCGUAUCUUGGUAACAAGUGCGGCAGAGGACUUGGGCGCUCAUUCUUGUUACAGAGAGUGUAGCCUAAAAUGUAGUGGCCAGCUCGCUUGCUUCCACUACGGUAGCGACUGUCAGAGUUAAUGGGUACUUGUGCCUGUGGCUGACGCGUUUGCUACCGUAAGGUGCUUGCUGUAACGGCCUAAACUUACCAUACAGCUUCUGGCUGUGACUUUGAUCUCAAAUCAGGCAAGACUACCCGCUGAACUUAA
Molecule: unclassified non-coding RNA, 367 nt
Filed under: uncultured fungus
Lineage: Eukaryota; Fungi
Description: sequence contains ITS1
Rfam family: 5.8S ribosomal RNA (bases 1-104)
Source: RNAcentral